This 282-nucleotide unclassified non-coding RNA is filed under the name Hevea brasiliensis (rubber tree). Lineage: Eukaryota; Viridiplantae; Streptophyta; Magnoliopsida; Malpighiales; Euphorbiaceae. The record is from RNAcentral.
UGUUUAGAGGGUGAUUUUGAAACUAUUGCGGACUUUCUUCUGAGGGCAGCUCAAAUAACCUGUGCAAUACAGAGGGAACAUGGGAAGUUCCAGAGAGAUUUUCUCAAGGGUCUUCCAAACAAUAGAGAUAUUGUUGAGCUCCAAAACCAGGUUGAGACAUUUUCUUCCCAGUUUGCAAUGCCAGGGUUCGACUUUUGAAUGUGUAAAGAGGACAACUUGAAUGCAUCCUUAGGUGGCUUCCCGCUAUCUGUUUGGAUGGAGAAAAACUGUAAUUAUGUUCCC